Molecule: ribosomal RNA, 419 nt
Filed under: uncultured bacterium
Lineage: Bacteria
Description: bacterial SSU rRNA
Rfam family: Bacterial small subunit ribosomal RNA
Source: RNAcentral
AUUGAACGCUGGCGGCAUGCCUUACACAUGCAAGUCGAACGGCAGCACGGGAGCUUGCUCCUGGUGGCGAGUGGCGAACGGGUGAGUAAUACAUCGGAACGUACCCUGAAGUGGGGGAUAACGUAGCGAAAGUUACGCUAAUACCGCAUAUUCUGUGAGCAGGAAAGAGGGGGAUCGCAAGACCUCUUGCUUUAGGAGCGGCCGAUGUCGGAUUAGCUAGUUGGUGAGGUAAAGGCUCACCAAGGCGACGAUCCGUAGCGGGUCUGAGAGGAUGAUCCGCCACACUGGGACUGAGACACGGCCCAGACUCCUACGGGAGGCAGCAGUGGGGAAUUUUGGACAAUGGGCGCAAGCCUGAUCCAGCCAUGCCGCGUGAGUGAAGAAGGCCUCGGUUGUAAAGGACUCUUUCUAGCCGGAAG